CCUACGGGUGGCUGCAGUGGGGAAUAUUGGACAAUGGGCGAAAGCCUGAUCCAGCCAUGCCGCGUGUGUGAAGAAGGCCUUCGGGUUGUAAAGCACUUUCAGUGGGGAAGAAAGCCUUGGGGCUAAUACCCUCGAGGAAGGACAUCACCCACAGAAGAAGCACCGGCUAACUCCGUGCCAGCAGCCGCGGUAAUACGGAGGGUGCGAGCGUUAAUCGGAAUUACUGGGCGUAAAGCGCGCGUAGGCGGUCUGAUAAGCCGGUUGUGAAAGCCCCGGGCUCAACCUGGGAACGGCAUCCGGAACUGUCAGGCUAGAGUGCAGGAGAGGAAGGUAGAAUUCCCGGUGUAGCAGUGAAAUGCGUAGAGAUCGGGAGGAAUACCAGUGGCGAAGGCGGCCUUAUGGACUGACACUGACGCUGAGGUGCGAAAGCGUGGGUAGCAAACAGGAUUAGAUACCCCAGUAGUC
This 465-nucleotide ribosomal RNA is filed under the name Vreelandella stevensii. RNAcentral describes it as "partial 16S ribosomal RNA". It matches the Rfam family "Bacterial small subunit ribosomal RNA", at positions 338 to 795 of the family's 1533-position model. Lineage: Bacteria; Pseudomonadati; Pseudomonadota; Gammaproteobacteria; Oceanospirillales; Halomonadaceae. The record is from RNAcentral.